GAUGAAGAACGCAGCGAAAUGCGAUAAGUAGUGUGAAUUGCAGAAUUCAGUGAAUCAUCGAAUCUUUGAACGCACAUUGCGCCCCUUGGUAUUCCAUGGGGCAUGCCUGUUCGAGCGUCAUUUGUACCUUCAAGCUUUGCUUGGUGUUGGGUGUUUGUCCCUCGGGACUCGCCUUAAAGUCAUUGGCAGCCAGUGUUUUGGUUUUGAAGCGCAGCACAAGUCGCGAUUCAAGGCUAUCCGCCCGCUUCCACAAGCCUUUUUCACUUUUGACCUCGGAUCAGGUAGGGAUACCCGCUGAACUUAAGCAUAUCAAUAAACGGAGGA
This 324-nucleotide unclassified non-coding RNA is filed under the name soil metagenome. RNAcentral describes it as "partial contains 5.8S ribosomal RNA, internal transcribed spacer 2, and large subunit ribosomal RNA". The stretch from base 1 to 120 matches the Rfam family "5.8S ribosomal RNA", at positions 35 to 154 of the family's 154-position model. The record is from RNAcentral.